UACGUAGGUGGCAAGCGUUGUCCGGAUUUAUUGGGCGUAAAGCGAGCGCAGGCGGUCUUUUAAGUCUGAUGUGAAAGCCCCCGGCUUAACCGGGGAGGGUCAUUGGAAACUGGGAGACUUGAGUGCAGAAGAGGAGAGUGGAAUUCCAUGUGUAGCGGUGAAAUGCGUAGAUAUAUGGAGGAACACCAGUGGCGAAGGCGGCUCUCUGGUCUGACACUGACGCUGAGGCUCGAAAGCGUGGGGAGCAAACAGG
RNAcentral lists this ribosomal RNA (253 nucleotides) under uncultured bacterium. RNAcentral's name for it is "partial 16S ribosomal RNA". It matches the Rfam family "Bacterial small subunit ribosomal RNA", at positions 524 to 776 of the family's 1533-position model. The record is from RNAcentral.